AACCAAUAGUUAAACAGUCUAAACGGAGAUGGGCCAUAGUUAAUAUGAUAUUCUCUUAAUAAAAGAGGACAAUGGUCAGACCAUCUACGAUCCAACGCACUACAAUUACAUCCUUUUAACUUGACAUAUCAAUUUUUUUUUUAUUAAUAUUAAUUGACUCUUUGAUAGUAUUUAUUUUUUAGGUUACGAGCAUUUAUUAUAAGCUUCGUCCUCUUAUAUUAAAUAGGGCCGGUCCCGAGAUUUUGAAGGCCCUAUUAAAUUUAGUAAAAAUAGGUCCUUAAAAUUAAUAAAUUUUUUAACAUUUUAAAUUAAAAUUAAAAAUUUUCUUUUAAUAUGUUAUUAUAUUUAUUAGACAAUUUCAUUUAACUACCCAAAUGUAUUACAAGACCAACUUUUUUAAAGCAACAAGCAAAUCUUCACUUUUCAUCUACCGAUUCAAAAAUGUCAAAGACAUCAUUAUAUUGCAUUUAUCCCCCAUAAAUAUAACAAACACAUCAUCAAAACAACAUAUAAAAAGGACUAGUCUUCAACAAAGACUAACCAAAAAAAACUGAUGUAGUAGUAAACUCCUUUGUUGUAGUUGACAAACUUCACAGAAAAUAAGUACCACAAGGGCAACAACCUGGCAUUAAAUAUUUAUUAAAUAUUAAUUUUUUGGGAAGCAUUUAUGCUCAUAAAUAUUAUACCUUUAAAUGAAAUCUAAGAAAUCUAUUGUUUACUAGAAAAGAAUUCAUAACCAUAAACCUUACUUAGAUUGUGCACAGUAACAUUCUAUGCCAUGCUCUGAAUGUAUGUUCAUGAGGGAAAUUAGAAUCAUAUUUCUUCCACAGAUCACCUAAAACAAAGAAAAGAAACUUAUGCACAAGAAAACUCUACAUAUCACCGAUAAAAUAAGUAAUUCGUCUGUAAAUCUACAUUUGUAAGAAGCAUGUGGAGUGCUUUUCGGAGGAGUUUGAAACCAAUAUAAAGAUUUUAUGCACCAUAUUUGUUGGCAAUCUGCUACUAAACAUGUACAUUAUUGCAAACAGUAGAACCACAUUAAAUAAAGGAACAAUUUUGCGUGAGGCUUUGGCCUCUUUUGCCAAAAGUAAAUGAAAAUCGAACUUCAUCAU
RNAcentral lists this long non-coding RNA (1112 nucleotides) under Lactuca sativa (garden lettuce). RNAcentral's name for it is "long non-coding RNA (LSAT_LNC003619)". Lineage: Eukaryota; Viridiplantae; Streptophyta; Magnoliopsida; Asterales; Asteraceae. The record is from RNAcentral.